GUGGGGAAUCUUGGACAAUGGGCGCAAGCCUGAUCCAGCCAUGCCGCGUGAGUGAUGAAGGCCUUAGGGUUGUAAAACUCUUUCGUCGGGGACGAUAAUGACGGUACCCGAAGAAGAAGCCCCGGCUAACUUCGUGCCAGCAGCCGCGGUAAUACGAAGGGGGCUAGCGUUGUUCGGAUUUACUGGGCGUAAAGCGCGUGUAGGCGGACUGGUAAGUUGGGGGUGAAAUCCCGAGGCUCAACCUCGGAACUGCCUCCAAAACUGUCAGUCUGGACUCAAGUAGAGGCAAGUGGAAUACCGAGUGUAGAGGUGAAAUUCGUAGAUAUUCGGUGGAACACCAGUGGCGAAGGCGACUUGCUGGACUUGUAGUGACGCUGAGACGCGAAAGCGUGGGGAGCAAACAGGAUUAGAUACCCGUGUAGUCC
Molecule: ribosomal RNA, 425 nt
Filed under: uncultured bacterium
Lineage: Bacteria
Description: bacterial SSU rRNA
Rfam family: Bacterial small subunit ribosomal RNA
Source: RNAcentral